Molecule: long non-coding RNA, 880 nt
Organism: Bos indicus x Bos taurus (hybrid cattle)
Lineage: Eukaryota; Metazoa; Chordata; Mammalia; Artiodactyla; Bovidae
Source: Ensembl
AAGGAACGGUGACCACAAGGCUAGGUCCAGUGUGAGUUUGGGCUUGUCUACUGAGCGAUCCUAUGACAUCUCUGUUGAUAACAGUCAGACCUGCCAGGCUUACUGGGAACUCAAGUGCCCGGCGUGUGUGAUAUAUCUGCCAUGAUCCCUUUGUAAGAGUCACUUGCAUUUCAGACAGAGAAACACGCUCAGAGCUGGGUAUCAGUUGGUGAGGCACUGGCAUUCCACAGUCAGUUGAGUUAAUCCCUUGCAGAGGUCCCGGAGAUAUUUCCACUGCUGCUGUCUUCUCUUCUAAACUGGUCAUCCGAAUAUGAUAAAUUCGAGUUUUACUGCUAAGAUUAGCUAUUCCGUCAGCCCUCGCCCUGUGAAGCGAGGUGGUUUUGAACAUGCACAUUAAAGAAGUGAAAGGAAGGCAAGUCUGGCUGUAUCAUCUAAAAUGUGAUUGCCUCCGUGGGUAAGUCAAGAGGCUUCCUUUGAACAGGAAACGUGGAUGUCUUCACAAAGCCUACAUGAAGUGCAAAGACAGAGGAAGCCUCCAGACUGUGCAGGUGAGCAUAUGGGUGUGAUGGAGAAGGCAAUGGCACCUCACUCCAGUACUCUUGCCUGGAAAAUCCCAUGGACGGAGGAUCAUGGUAGGCUGCAGUCCAUGUGGUCGCUAAGAGUCGGACAUGACUGAGCAACUUCACUUUGACUUUUCACUUUCAUGCAUUGGAGGAGGAAAUGGCAACCCACUCCAGUGUUCUUGCCUGGAGAAUCCCAUAGACAGAGGAGGCUGGUGGGCUGCCAUCUAUGGGGUUGCACAGAGUCGGACACGACUGAAGCGACUUAGCAGCAGCAGCAGCAUAUGUGUGUGAGAGCAUGUGUGUCUUCAUGAUUCAUC